Molecule: ribosomal RNA, 253 nt
Filed under: uncultured bacterium
Lineage: Bacteria
Description: partial 16S ribosomal RNA
Rfam family: Bacterial small subunit ribosomal RNA
Source: RNAcentral
UACGGAGGAUGCAAGCGUUAUCCGGAAUGAUUGGGCGUAAAGCGUCUGUAGGUGGCUUUUUAAGUCUGCCGUCAAAUCCCAGGGCUUAACCCUGGAAAGGCGGUGGAAACUGAAGCGCUAGAGUGCGGUAGGGGUAGAGGGAAUUCCCGGUGUAGCGGUGAAAUGCGCAGAUAUCGGGAGGAACACCAGUAGCGAAGGCGGCACUCUGGGCCGGAACUGACGCUGAGGAGCGAAAGCGUGGGGAGCGAACAGG